Molecule: ribosomal RNA, 2160 nt
Filed under: Escherichia coli
Lineage: Bacteria; Pseudomonadati; Pseudomonadota; Gammaproteobacteria; Enterobacterales; Enterobacteriaceae
Description: partial 23S ribosomal RNA
Rfam family: Bacterial large subunit ribosomal RNA
Source: RNAcentral
CGGAUGACUUGUGGCUGGGGGUGAAAGGCCAAUCAAACCGGGAGAUAGCUGGUUCUCCCCGAAAGCUAUUUAGGUAGCGCCUCGUGAAUUCAUCUCCGGGGGUAGAGCACUGUUUCGGCAAGGGGGUCAUCCCGACUUACCAACCCGAUGCAAACUGCGAAUACCGGAGAAUGUUAUCACGGGAGACACACGGCGGGUGCUAACGUCCGUCGUGAAGAGGGAAACAACCCAGACCGCCAGCUAAGGUCCCAAAGUCAUGGUUAAGUGGGAAACGAUGUGGGAAGGCCCAGACAGCCAGGAUGUUGGCUUAGAAGCAGCCAUCAUUUAAAGAAAGCGUAAUAGCUCACUGGUCGAGUCGGCCUGCGCGGAAGAUGUAACGGGGCUAAACCAUGCACCGAAGCUGCGGCAGCGACACUAUGUGUUGUUGGGUAGGGGAGCGUUCUGUAAGCCUGUGAAGGUGGCCUGUGAGGGUUGCUGGAGGUAUCAGAAGUGCGAAUGCUGACAUAAGUAACGAUAAAGCGGGUGAAAAGCCCGCUCGCCGGAAGACCAAGGGUUCCUGUCCAACGUUAAUCGGGGCAGGGUGAGUCGACCCCUAAGGCGAGGCCGAAAGGCGUAGUCGAUGGGAAACAGGUUAAUAUUCCUGUACUUGGUGUUACUGCGAAGGGGGGACGGAGAAGGCUAUGUUGGCCGGGCGACGGUUGUCCCGGUUUAAGCGUGUAGGCUGGUUUUCCAGGCAAAUCCGGAAAAUCAAGGCUGAGGCGUGAUGACGAGGCACUACGGUGCUGAAGCGACAAAUGCCCUGCUUCCAGGAAAAGCCUCUAAGCAUCAGGUAACAUCAAAUCGUACCCCAAACCGACACAGGUGGUCAGGUAGAGAAUACCAAGGCGCUUGAGAGAACUCGGGUGAAGGAACUAGGCAAAAUGGUGCCGUAACUUCGGGAGAAGGCACGCUGAUAUGUAGGUGAAGCGACUUGCUCGUGGAGCUGAAAUCAGUCGAAGAUACCAGCUGGCUGCAACUGUUUAUUAAAAACACAGCACUGUGCAAACACGAAAGUGGACGUAUACGGUGUGACGCCUGCCCGGUGCCGGAAGGUUAAUUGAUGGGGUUAGCGGUAACGCGAAGCUCUUGAUCGAAGCCCCGGUAAACGGCGGCCGUAACUAUAACGGUCCUAAGGUAGCGAAAUUCCUUGUCGGGUAAGUUCCGACCUGCACGAAUGGCGUAAUGAUGGCCAGGCUGUCUCCACCCGAGACUCAGUGAAAUUGAACUCGCUGUGAAGAUGCAGUGUACCCGCGGCAAGACGGAAAGACCCCGUGAACCUUUACUAUAGCUUGACACUGAACAUUGAGCCUUGAUGUGUAGGAUAGGUGGGAGGCUUUGAAGUGUGGACGCCAGUCUGCAUGGAGCCGACCUUGAAAUACCACCCUUUAAUGUUUGAUGUUCUAACGUGGGCCCCUUACCGGGGUUGCGGACAGUGUCUGGUGGGUAGUUUGACUGGGGCGGUCUCCUCCUAAAGAGUAACGGAGGAGCACGAAGGUUGGCUAAUCCUGGUCGGACAUCAGGAGGUUAGUGCAAUGGCAUAAGCCAGCUUGACUGCGAGCGUGACGGCGCGAGCAGGUGCGAAAGCAGGUCAUAGUGAUCCGGUGGUUCUGAAUGGAAGGGCCAUCGCUCAACGGAUAAAAGGUACUCCGGGGAUAACAGGCUGAUACCGCCCAAGAGUUCAUAUCGACGGCGGUGUUUGGCACCUCGAUGUCGGCUCAUCACAUCCUGGGGCUGAAGUAGGUCCCAAGGGUAUGGCUGUUCGCCAUUUAAAGUGGUACGCGAGCUGGGUUUAGAACGUCGUGAGACAGUUCGGUCCCUAUCUGCCGUGGGCGCUGGAGAACUGAGGGGGGCUGCUCCUAGUACGAGAGGACCGGAGUGGACGCAUCACUGGUGUUCGGGUUGUCAUGCCAAUGGCACUGCCCGGUAGCUAAAUGCGGAAGAGAUAAGUGCUGAAAGCAUCUAAGCACGAAACUUGCCCCGAGAUGAGUUCUCCCUGACUCCUUGAGAGUCCUGAAGGAACGUUGAAGACGACGACGUUGAUAGGCCGGGUGUGUAAGCGCAGCGAUGCGUUGAGCUAACCGGUACUAAUGAACCGUGAGGCUUAACCUUACAACGCCGAAG